GCCAGACUCCUACGGGAGGCAGCAGUGGGGAAUAUUGCACAAUGAGGGAAACCCUGAUGCAGCAACGCCGCGUGAGUGAAGAAGUAUUUCGGUAUGUAAAGCUCUAUCAGCAGGGAAGAGAAUGACGGUACCUGACUAAGAAGCCCCGGCUAACUACGUGCCAGCAGCCGCGGUAAUACGUGGGGGGCGAGCGUUAUCCGGAUUUACUGGGUGUAAAGGGAGCGUAGACGGUUCUGCAAGUCUGAAGUGAAAGCCCGUGGCUUAACCGCGGAACGGCUUUGGAAACUGUGGAACUGGAGUGCUGGAGAGGCAAGCGGAAUUCCUAGUGUAGCGGUGAAAUGCGUAGAUAUUAGGAGGAACACCAGUGGCGAAGGCGGCUUGCUGGACAGUAACUGACGUUGAGGCUCGAAAGCGUGGGGAGCGAACAGGAUUAGAUACCCGAGUA
Molecule: ribosomal RNA, 445 nt
Filed under: uncultured bacterium
Lineage: Bacteria
Description: bacterial SSU rRNA
Rfam family: Bacterial small subunit ribosomal RNA
Source: RNAcentral